Molecule: unclassified non-coding RNA, 333 nt
Filed under: Thalassocella blandensis
Lineage: Bacteria; Pseudomonadati; Pseudomonadota; Gammaproteobacteria; Cellvibrionales; Cellvibrionaceae
Description: Teredinibacter sp. ISS155 cspA
Source: RNAcentral
AAAGCGUGCGGUACUCUGCCGCCGUUGAAAAUGUUUCGUCUACCCUCUCGACGCCCCUUCUAGUAGUUGUUUUUCCUAGCAGUACCCGUCCAGCAGAUUUAACCGUACAUAUUAUUUCGGCAAAACACCGCCCAACGGCAUUAUUUUAUUUUUUAUAAAGGUUAUAAAUUUAUGAGCACAGCAACAGGUUCUGUUAAGUGGUUCAAUGAAAGCAAAGGUUUUGGUUUUAUUUCUCAAGAUGGUGGUCCAGAUGUAUUCGUUCACCACACUGCAAUUUUAGGCACUGGCUUCAAAACUUUAGCAGAAGGCCAACAAGUGUCUUUUGAAGUAACU